This 465-nucleotide ribosomal RNA is filed under the name Vreelandella stevensii. RNAcentral describes it as "partial 16S ribosomal RNA". It matches the Rfam family "Bacterial small subunit ribosomal RNA", at positions 338 to 795 of the family's 1533-position model. Lineage: Bacteria; Pseudomonadati; Pseudomonadota; Gammaproteobacteria; Oceanospirillales; Halomonadaceae. The record is from RNAcentral.
CCUACGGGUGGCAACAGUGGGGAAUAUUGGACAAUGGGCGAAAGCCUGAUCCAGCCAUGCCGCGUGUGUGAAGAAGGCCUUCGGGUUGUAAAGCACUUUCAGUGGGGAAGAAAGCCUUGGGGCUAAUACCCUCGAGGAAGGACAUCACCCACAGAAGAAGCACCGGCUAACUCCGUGCCAGCAGCCGCGGUAAUACGGAGGGUGCGAGCGUUAAUCGGAAUUACUGGGCGUAAAGCGCGCGUAGGCGGUCUGAUAAGCCGGUUGUGAAAGCCCCGGGCUCAACCUGGGAACGGCAUCCGGAACUGUCAGGCUAGAGUGCAGGAGAGGAAGGUAGAAUUCCCGGUGUAGCGGUGAAAUGCGUAGAGAUCGGGAGGAAUACCAGUGGCGAAGGCGGCCUUCUGGACUGACACUGACGCUGAGGUGCGAAAGCGUGGGUAGCAAACAGGAUUAGAUACCCUAGUAGUC